GAUUUUUUAACUUAAUGGUCAAAGUGCAAACUCGAUAAGUUUGAAAUACUGGUUCAAUUCCAUUAAAAAUCA
Molecule: non-coding RNA, 72 nt
Organism: Pneumocystis murina
Lineage: Eukaryota; Fungi; Ascomycota; Pneumocystomycetes; Pneumocystales; Pneumocystaceae
Source: Rfam